GGACAAAUGAAAUAGUUGAAGAUUAGUAUAAGAAGUUAGUAAUUAACAAUAGGAAAAUAUUAAAAUAGAAAGCGGGGGUGAAAUACAGUAUUCAUAUUAAUGAUAUUUUUAGAAAAAUGGGUUUCUAUUAUAUAAAAUAAGUUAAUUAGAAAGGGAUUAGAUAACCCUGUAUACUUAAAAUAAUUGAAUUUGAGGGUAGUAAACAGAUAUGAGCUUGAAACCUAGAGAAUUUGGCGGCACCUAAGUCUAGUCAGAGGAACCUGUACUAUAAACGAUAAACCACGAAAAUCUGACUUUAUCUUGAUUAAUCAGUUUGUAUACCUCCAUUAUUAAAUAAACUUAAGAGGGGCUUAUUGAGAUAAAUUUAAUUAAUUUUUAAUAUAUUAGGUCAAGGUGCAGCUAAUGGUAAAGUAGUUAUGGGUUACAAUAUAAAAAUAUAAAACGAAUCUUAAGGGGAAUCUUUUAAGGGAAGGUGGAUUUGAAUGUAAUAUAGGUGAAUUAAACCUAUAUGGUUUAAGCUAUUGGGUGUGCACACAUCGCCCGUCGUUCUUGCUUU
RNAcentral lists this ribosomal RNA (556 nucleotides) under Prionalpheus triarticulatus. RNAcentral's name for it is "partial small subunit ribosomal RNA". Lineage: Eukaryota; Metazoa; Arthropoda; Malacostraca; Decapoda; Alpheidae. The record is from RNAcentral.